CGGCAACAGCUCAAAUUUGAAAUCUGGCCUCUUCGGGGCCCGAGUUGUAAUUUGCAGAGGAUGCUUCGGCGUGGGCGCCGUCCAAAGUUCCUUGGAACAGGAUGUCAUAGAGGGUGAGAGCCCCGUAUCCGGGUGGAUGCCCCCGCCAUGUGAAGCUCCUUCGAC
This 165-nucleotide ribosomal RNA is filed under the name Magnaporthaceae sp. Its description in RNAcentral is "partial large subunit ribosomal RNA". It matches the Rfam family "Eukaryotic large subunit ribosomal RNA", at positions 99 to 261 of the family's 3401-position model. Lineage: Eukaryota; Fungi; Ascomycota; Sordariomycetes; Magnaporthales; Magnaporthaceae. The record is from RNAcentral.